UCCCUGAUGGUCUAGUGGUCAGGUUUUGGCGCUCUCACCGCCGCGGUCCGGGUUCGAUUCCCAGUCAGGGAA
Molecule: transfer RNA, 72 nt
Filed under: Danionella translucida
Lineage: Eukaryota; Metazoa; Chordata; Actinopteri; Cypriniformes; Danionidae
Also listed under: 1 other name
Rfam family: tRNA
About the family: Transfer RNA (tRNA) molecules are approximately 80 nucleotides in length.
Source: Rfam by way of RNAcentral